AAUUGAGAGAGAAAGCUAGUGAGAGAGAGAGAGAGAGAGAGCAUGGGGGGGGGGGUGGAAGAGGGAGAAGCAGGUUCCCUGCUGAGCAAGGAGCCCCAGGUGGGUCUCCAUCCCAGGACCCCAAGAUCAUGACCUGAGCUGGAGGCAGAGGCUUCGCUAACUGAGCCACCCAGGUGCCUCUCGUUUCAUCUUUUAUAUUUAAGGCUUUAAGCAAGUAUUCAUCAAAGGAUGGACUACAGACAACAGUUCACCUAUGAACCAGUGAGUCAGAAUGUCUGGGAGUCUCCCUUAUACCAAACUCUCCAGGACUGGAUCUUCUCUGUUUCUGUCCUGGAGUCCUCAUGAGAUCAUUUGAGCCCAAUAGCAAGUUUGCUUUUCUUAUCUUUCUCCAUGAAGCUUCAGGGAGAGGGAAGUGGCUGCUCCUUUCAACCAAAUUAACCUGUAGAACAGGUGAUAUUGAGCAGGCUGAGGCUGCCCACCCUGCCAGGACUGGCGCCGGGAGGGCCGGACCAGCACCCAGGGCCUACCAUCUGAACUUUCCAGUGGAAGAUAAUGAGAAGGAAAGGGCAAAACUAGGUGACUAG
RNAcentral lists this long non-coding RNA (584 nucleotides) under Vulpes vulpes (red fox). RNAcentral describes it as "lncRNA (ENSVVUG00000014639.1)". The record is from RNAcentral. Lineage: Eukaryota; Metazoa; Chordata; Mammalia; Carnivora; Canidae.